RNAcentral lists this ribosomal RNA (366 nucleotides) under Triticum aestivum (bread wheat). RNAcentral's name for it is "partial small subunit ribosomal RNA". The record is from RNAcentral. Lineage: Eukaryota; Viridiplantae; Streptophyta; Magnoliopsida; Poales; Poaceae.
AUGGAGAUGGAAGAGGGGCUCGAUCUGAGCCUGUCGCUGCGCCAGUACACGCCGCCGUGGUCGCAGCUGGUGUUCGCCUGCUCCUACUGCUCACGCAGCUUCAAGAACUCGCAGGCGCUCGGCGGCCACCAGAACGCUCACAAGCUGGCCAGGCGGGCCACGGCGCUCUCUUCAGCGGCGGCGGGAGAGCUCGCCAUCGAGAACCACCACAGCGCUCCGCCGCGCCCCGGCGCCCGCGCUUGGCGAGCAGGAUAUCGUCAGCAGGCGCGGCGCACGGGUACUGGUUCGGGGGCAACCUCGUCCGGGGCAAGAAGAGGCGACCAAGAGCUUGCGGAGGAGGCGAUUGACCUGUCCCUCAAGCUAUGA